This is a long non-coding RNA of Neoarius graeffei (lesser salmon catfish), 2285 nucleotides long. RefSeq lists it as uncharacterized. The transcript has 3 exons. NCBI's taxonomy places the organism in Eukaryota, Metazoa, Chordata, Actinopteri, Siluriformes, Ariidae. The record is from RefSeq and is a predicted model, not a curated record.
UCCCGUCUCAUUGUAACGACAUGCUCUCAUUGCUCCAGAGUUGGACUGUCACUGCAAGGUGUGUGUGGAAGAUAGGCUGCUAGCAGGCAGAGCUCAAACUUAGCACCCUUGGAAGCAGAAGGAGUUUUCACGGUGUCAGAAUGCCAGUGGUAAAAAGAGGAGAGAAAUAAAGUUGCACCAGUCGAAGCUCUCUGCAUCUUGUGUGGUUAAUCCAAGUGGGCUGCUACAGUGAAAACUCCUUGGCUGCAACAGACCUGCCAUCCCUGCAGAGAAGCUGACGCCAUCUCAUCUGUGAUCCAACUACCAACCUGAUACCAGCCAGCUGAUUCCACUCGCACCCACAUCCUGCACAGGCAAGAUUAAAAGGGACAGCACGCUUAAGGUACAACUAUGGAUGCUGAAAGAGACAUUGGGUGCCAAGGAGCAAAAGAAGACUAUUUAUACACACACACGCGCGCGCGCGCGCGUACAAGCUUACGGCAUAACUGAAGUGCCUUAAAUACUAACAUCAUAUUUUGAGGUCAAAAUAAUUUGUGAGCUGGUUCCCAACACAUAACAGUUCUUAAAUUGGUGAAUAUUUCAAGACAAAUGGCACAUGUUUAUGGAAUAAUAAAUCAUGACAUGUCUGUUUAUGAAAAGGUUUAAAGGGUGAAGCUCUUUAGCUAUAAAUGUCUACAGCGCUUACUGUAUUUACGACAUCUUUGUUGUUACUGUUUUAUGCAAAAAUCUCUUUGAAUGUCCAUAAUCUGUAAAUGCUUGAUAUAAUAAUUACUCUGUGGUAAAAGAUAACUACAGCUUAUAGACCCUUUUCAGUCACGUGACCUUCGUAAACGCGACCGCCAUUUUGGACAUGUAGUGGACUUCGGCUCGAAUCGGUUUGAAUGCGAGGAAGGCGACAAACAUAAAAGAAAAAGGAGCGAGAUGCAGAAAACUGUAUUUACUAGUUUACUGUAAUUAUGAUCUGGCAGCUAUUUACACCGGAUCCAGUGUAAAUAGCUGCCGGAGCCAACGUCCGAGCUUGCUGGAGUGCGCGCACUCUGGCCGGCCGCGAGCUAGCGCGCUCCGGAACCUCGGAAGUUGGUUCCGGCAGCUAUUUACACUGGAUCCGGUGUAAAUAGCUGCCAGAUCAUAAUUACAGUAAACUAGAAUGGAAUGUUAACAGCAAUGUAAUGCCUUUUCUGGCUAAUUUUAUUCGUCUUACCUCCAACAAAGUGGUCACUACACAAGCAUUGGUAUGCCGCUAUCCAUCUUCUCCGUCGGUCAGCAUCUACCGGGAUCCAAUAAAAUGAUAACCCUUGCCUUGUUUGUUGAUGGUUACUACAUCCAGGUGCACAACAAUAUAGUGGCAUGAUGGAAGUCUUGCUGAAAAUAAACACUUUCUUUGCUGCCAUUCCUCAAUGCUGGUUGUGGUAAACUACUGGUAGUACAUGUCCAAAAUGGCGGCCGCGUUUGUCGUGACGUCACGUGAAAAGGGUCCAUAGGUGUGAAUUCAGGCAUAAGACAAUCAAAAGCCAUGCCAGACUUAAAGCAGUUGCACAAACAAACAAGUUGUUACUCCCAACAGAGAAGACAGACAAUCAUACAGACACAGCAUUCAGGUCCAGCUCACGUGAGAGAAAGCUAACAGAGAGAGGCCAAGAAAUGCAUGACCAAGACAUCAAAAAACGUGAAAAAACAUUUAACAAGGCGACUCUUGGAAGCUAGUAGCAAGGGAGACUAGGACAAAAUUAAAAGCCCUCUGCUCAUUUGAAGACCUCAGUAAAUUACAUGAAGAUAUUCAAGCAAAGUACAAUGCUGUAAACCUGCAGUAUGAACCUAUUCUACGUAACAGUAACACCACGCCAGAGAUUGUCAAAAAAAUGGACACUUGUGUUAUGCUGAUAAAGGAAAUUCGUGACCUAAUAAGCAACCGUCUAGAGACUAUUAAUGAAGAUUAUAAUGAUCAACUUGAAAAGGAAAGAGUAAGAGAAACGUUAAACAAAAAUGAAUAUGGGUCUGUCUUUGAUCACACCAAAACUGAAACUGUAAGCUCAUCAGAGAGAUCAAGCAAACACUCUGGCUCAGCCAGUACCCACGGCAGUAGAGUAGAUGCAGAAGCAGAGCUUGCUGCUAAGCCGGAACAAUCAAAGGCCAUGGAAGAAAUUCAAGCACAUUUUCACAAGUUAGAAAGUGAAUGUGUCGUGUAUUGGUUGUAAUACUGUAGUUACCAAUAGGUGGUGCUGUGACAUUACAAGGCUGUGCUGUAUAUAAUGAAGCUGCACCAGUAAACGUUGUUCAGUCUGCUA